UACACUCCUGCGGGAGGCAGCAGUGGGGAAUUUUGGACAAUGGGCGAAAGCCUGAUCCAGCAAUGCCGCGUGUGUGAAGAAGGCCUUCGGGUUGUAAAGCACUUUUGUCCGGAAAGAAAUCCUUGGCUCUAAUACAGUCGGGGGAUGACGGUACCGGAAGAAUAAGCACCGGCUAACUACGUGCCAGCAGCCGCGGUAAUACGUAGGGUGCGAGCGUUAAUCGGAAUUACUGGGCGUAAAGCGUGCGCAGGCGGUUUGCUAAGACCGAUGUGAAAUCCCCGGGCUCAACCUGGGAACUGCAUUGGUGACUGGCAGGCUAGAGUAUGGCAGAGGGGGGUAGAAUUCCACGUGUAGCAGUGAAAUGCGUAGAGAUGUGGAGGAAUACCGAUGGCGAAGGCAGCCCCCUGGGCCAAUACUGACGCUCAUGCACGAAAGCGUGGGGAGCAAACAGGAUUAGAUACCCUAGUAGUCCCAUG
This 476-nucleotide ribosomal RNA is filed under the name uncultured organism. Its description in RNAcentral is "partial 16S ribosomal RNA". It matches the Rfam family "Bacterial small subunit ribosomal RNA", at positions 332 to 799 of the family's 1533-position model. The record is from RNAcentral.